This 102-nucleotide ribosomal RNA is filed under the name uncultured bacterium. RNAcentral describes it as "partial 16S ribosomal RNA". It matches the Rfam family "Bacterial small subunit ribosomal RNA", at positions 1384 to 1483 of the family's 1533-position model. The record is from RNAcentral.
UACACACCGCCCGUCACAUCACGAAAGUGGGUGGUACUAGAAGCCGUCCCGCCAACCCGCAAGGGGGGCAGACGUCCAAGGUAUGACUCAUGAUUGGGGUGA